RNAcentral lists this ribosomal RNA (492 nucleotides) under uncultured bacterium. RNAcentral's name for it is "partial 16S ribosomal RNA". It matches the Rfam family "Bacterial small subunit ribosomal RNA", at positions 29 to 507 of the family's 1533-position model. The record is from RNAcentral.
AGUGAACGCUGGCGGUAGGCCUAACACAUGCCAGUCGAACGGCAGCACAGUAAGAGCUUGCUCUUACGGGUGGCGAGUGGCGGACGGGUGAGGAAUACAUCGGAAUCUACUUUUUCGUGGGGGAUAACGUAGGGGAACUUACGCUAAUACCGCAUACGACCUACGGGUGAAAGCAGGGGAUCUUCGGACCUUGCGCGAUUGAAUGAGCCGAUGUCGGAUUAGCUAGUUGGCGGGGUAAAGGCCCACCAAGGCGACGAUCCGUAGCUGGUCUGAGAGGAUGAUCAGCCACACUGGAACUGAGACACGGUCCAGACUCCUACGGGAGGCAGCAGUGGGGAAUAUUGGACAAUGGGCGCAAGCCUGAUCCAGCCAUACCGCGUGGGUGAAGAAGGCCUUCGGGUUGUAAAGCCCUUUUGUUGGGAAAGAAAAGCAGCAGGUUAAUACCCCGCUGUUCUGACGGUACCCAAAGAAUAAGCACCGGCUAACUUCGUG